GCCAGCAGCUAGCUCUCUGCAACUCUCACAUGGUCGCCCAUUGAAGCUAAGCAGGGUUGCGCCUGGUCAGUACCUGGAUGGGAGACCACAUGGGAAAGCUAGGUUGCUGCCGAAA
Molecule: ribosomal RNA, 115 nt
Filed under: Danio rerio (zebrafish)
Lineage: Eukaryota; Metazoa; Chordata; Actinopteri; Cypriniformes; Danionidae
Source: RNAcentral